GUGACAAAACCGGAGGAAAGGUGGGGACGACGUCAAAUCAUCAUGCCCCUUAUGACCUGGGCUACACACGUGCUACAAUGGAUGGUACAACGAGUCGCGAAACCGCGAGGUUUAGCUAAUCUCUUAAAACCAUUCUCAGUUCGGACUGUAGGCUGCAACUCGCCUACACGAAGUCGGAAUCGCUAGUAAUCGCGGAUCAGCAUGCCGCGGUGAAUACGUUCCCGGGCCUUGUACACACCGCCCGUCUCUCCAUGAGAGUUUGUAACACCCAAAGCCGGUGGGGUAACCUUUAGAGCUAGC
Molecule: ribosomal RNA, 300 nt
Filed under: Pediococcus acidilactici
Lineage: Bacteria; Bacillati; Bacillota; Bacilli; Lactobacillales; Lactobacillaceae
Description: bacterial SSU rRNA
Rfam family: Bacterial small subunit ribosomal RNA
Source: RNAcentral